Molecule: ribosomal RNA, 817 nt
Filed under: Natrinema sp. BAB-4203
Lineage: Archaea; Methanobacteriati; Methanobacteriota; Halobacteria; Halobacteriales; Natrialbaceae
Description: bacterial SSU rRNA
Rfam family: Archaeal small subunit ribosomal RNA
Source: RNAcentral
GAUUUAGCCAUGCUAGUUGCACGAGUUCAGACUCGUAGCAGAUAGCUCAGUAACACGUGGCCAAACUACCCUAUGGAUCCGAAUAACCUCGGGAAACUGAGGCUAAUACGGAAUAGCGUUCAUCGCCUGGAGUGGCACGAACGCGAAACGUUACGGCGCCAUAGGAUGUGGCUGCGGCCGAUUAGGUAGACGGUGGGGUAACGGCCCACCGUGCCCAUAAUCGGUACGGGUUGUGAGAGCAAGAGCCCGGAGACGGUAUCUGAGACAAGAUACCGGGCCCUACGGGGCGCAGCAGGCGCGAAACCUUUACACUGCACGCGAGUGCGAUAAGGGGACUCCGAGUGCGAGGGCAUAUAGUCCUCGCUUUUCACGACCGUAAGGUGGUCGUAGAAUAAGUGCUGGGCAAGACCGGUGCCAGCCGCCGCGGUAAUACCGGCAGCACGAGUGAUGACCGCUAUUAUUGGGCCUAAAGCGUCCGUAGCUGGCCACGCAAGUCUAUCGGGAAAUCCGCGCGCUUAACGCGCGGGCGUCCGGUGGAAACUGCGUGGCUUGGGACCGGAAGACCAGAGGGGUACGUCCGGGGUAGGAGUGAAAUCCCGUAAUCCUGGACGGACCACCGGUGGCGAAAGCGCCUCUGGAAGACGGAUCCGACGGUGAGGGACGAAAGCUCGGGUCACGAACCGGAUUAGAUACCCGGGUAGUCCGAGCUGUAAACGAUGUCUGCUAGGUGUGGCACAGGCUACGAGCCUGUGCUGUGCCGUAGGGAAGCCGUGAAGCAGACCGCCUGGGAAGUACGUCCGCAAGGAUGAAACUAAAG